AACGAACGCUGGCGGCAGGCUUAAUACAUGCAAGUCGAGCGGGCACUUCGGUGUCAGCGGCGCACGGGUGCGUAACGCGUGGGAACAUGCCUUUAGGUACGGAACAACCAAGGGAAACCUUGGCUAAUACCGUAUAAUAUCUCUGGAUCAAAGAUUUAUCGCCUAAAGAUUGGCCCGCGUUAGAUUAGGUAGUUGGUGGGGUAAUGGCCUACCAAGCCGACGAUCUAUAGGGGGUCUGAGAGGAUGAUCCCCCACACUGGAACUGAGACACGGUCCAGACUCCUACGGGAGGCAGCAGUAAGGAAUAUUGGACAAUGGGCGAAAGCCUGAUCCAGCCAUGCCGCGUGAGUGAUGAAGGCCUUAGGGUUGUAAAGCUCUUUUAGAUGGGAAGAUAAUGACUGUACCAUCAGAAUAAGCCCCGGCUAAAUUCGUG
This 433-nucleotide ribosomal RNA is filed under the name uncultured bacterium. RNAcentral describes it as "partial 16S ribosomal RNA". It matches the Rfam family "Bacterial small subunit ribosomal RNA", at positions 29 to 507 of the family's 1533-position model. The record is from RNAcentral.